Molecule: unclassified non-coding RNA, 353 nt
Filed under: Hevea brasiliensis (rubber tree)
Lineage: Eukaryota; Viridiplantae; Streptophyta; Magnoliopsida; Malpighiales; Euphorbiaceae
Source: RNAcentral
GGUGGAGGUUGUUAUGACUUUUAGCCAUGCAAUCACUGGAUUGAUAAUGGCUAAUUAUAUAAAUUAAAUUUAAUAUUACGUUCAUUAUUAUUACAGUUUUACUCCUCUUGCUUUUCUUGGCUCCUCGUUCGAUUUCUCCUGCAUUGCGUUCAUUCGUUUUUUCAAGAGAUAAAAAGAGAAAGGGGAAAAGUACCAGAUUUUGUAUUGAAAACCCAAACAAUAGCAUAAAUGGGUCGUGGAGUUAGCGCUGGUGGCGGACAGAGUUCAUUGGGAUACCUAUUUGGCGAUGGAGAGACUACUAACAGCGAAUCGGCUGCUAAAACUGUGGGACAAACUGCAAACAAUAGCCUUUC